Molecule: ribosomal RNA, 468 nt
Filed under: uncultured bacterium
Lineage: Bacteria
Description: partial 16S ribosomal RNA
Rfam family: Bacterial small subunit ribosomal RNA
Source: RNAcentral
GACGAACGCUGGCGGCGUGCUUAACACAUGCAAGUCGAACGGAAAGGCCCUGCUUUUGUGGGGUGCUCGAGUGGCGAACGGGUGAGUAGCACGUGUGUAACCUGCCCUUGACUUUGGGAUAACUUCAGGAAACUGGGGCUAAUACCGGAUAGGAGCUCCUGCUGCAUGGUGGGGGUUGGAAAGUUUCGGCGGUUGGGGAUGGACUCGCGGCUUAUCAGCUUGUUGGUGGGGUAGUGGCUUACCAAGGCUUUGACGGGUAGCCGGCCUGAGAGGGUGACCGGCCACAUUGGGACUGAGAUACGGCCCAGACUCCUACGGGAGGCAGCAGUGGGGAAUAUUGCACAAUGGGCGGAAGCCUGAUGCAGCAACGCCGCGUGCGGGAUGACGGCCUUCGGGUUGUAAACCGCUUUCGCCUGUGACGAAGCGUGAGUGACGGUAAUGGGUAAAGAAGCACCGGCUAACUACGUG